CUAUUUCUAGAGAUAGAAAGUUACUUCGGUACAUCGGUGACAGGUGGUGCAUGGUUGUCGUCAGCUCGUGUCGUGAGAUGUUGGGUUAAGUCCCGCAACGAGCGCAACCCCUAUUGUUAGUUGCCAUCAUUCAGUUGGGCACUCUAGCGAGACUGCCGGUAAUAAACCGGAGGAAGUGGGGAUGACGUCAAAUCAUCAUGCCCCUUAUGACCUGGGCUACACACGUGCUACAAUGGUUGGUACAACGAGUUGCGAGUCGGUGACGGCGAGCUAAUCUCUUAAAGCCAAUCUCAGUUCGGAUUGUAGGCUGCAACUCGCCUACAUGAAGUCGGAAUCGCUAGUAAUCGCGGAUCAGCACGCCGCGGUGAAUACGUUCCCGGGCCUU
RNAcentral lists this ribosomal RNA (385 nucleotides) under uncultured Streptococcus sp. RNAcentral describes it as "bacterial SSU rRNA". It matches the Rfam family "Bacterial small subunit ribosomal RNA", at positions 994 to 1382 of the family's 1533-position model. The record is from RNAcentral. Lineage: Bacteria; Bacillati; Bacillota; Bacilli; Lactobacillales; Streptococcaceae.